This is a long non-coding RNA of Homo sapiens (human), 3897 nucleotides long. Ensembl annotates it as chronic lymphocytic leukemia up-regulated 1. Its record names the gene CLLU1. NCBI's taxonomy places the organism in Eukaryota, Metazoa, Chordata, Mammalia, Primates, Hominidae. The record is from Ensembl.
GAAGGUAAAAAAAAGAGGGAGGUCUGAGAAAUAGAAAUAUCAGAGGAAGGAAAUAAAGGAGGGUGAGAGUAAAUUCUCUUUUAGCAUUCAGAUUCCACAGAUUCCACAAAUCACAUUUCUUUUUUUACCAACUAAGGAAAAAUAACACUUGACCUAACAUUUCAUUGCAGUUAGCUAAAGGAUGCUAGAAAAACUAUGUUGCAGUGGUUUGCUCUAAUUUCUUCAGGAAUAGAGAAAAGUGACAAAAAGAUCAGAGAAGAGAAGAAAGGAAACUAUCAGAAAAAUACAGAAUUGGAGUAGGAUAUAACAUAUUUGGGUUGAAGGUAAAAUUUUAUAUUGUAAUCUUAAGUAUCUUGCUACUUCAGUUUGGUCCCUGGAACAGCAGCAUCAGAAUCUGCCGAGGGCUUGUUAAAAAGGCAGAAUCUCAGGUCCCAUCCCAGACUCACUGAAUCAGAAUAUAAAUACUGACAAGAUGCCCCGGGAUUCAUAUGCACAGUAGAGCUGGCGAAGUUCCAUUGUAGCCUGUGAUUGUUUUCUGCAACUUAGUAUUUCUGAGUUUUCCCAAGGAAGAAAACCCAGGCCUUAGCUUCUGGCAGACUUGUGUUUCUCCUUUACUUACUAGCUGCAUGACUCAUGAGCAAGGAAAUCAAACUUUAUGUGCCUGAGUUUCCUCAUCUAUAAAAUGGAGACUAUAAUAAUCAUCUCCUAGGCUUGUUUUGAGGAUGUUCAACAAAUGCUCCUUUCAUUCCUCUAUUUACAGACCUGCCGCAGACAAUUCUGCUAGCAGCCUUUGUGCUAUUAUCUGUUUUCUAAACUUAGUAAUUGAGUGUGAUCUGGAGACUAACUCUGAAAUAAAUAAGCUGAUUAUUUAUUUAUUUUCUCAAAACAACAGAAUACGAUUUAGCAAAUUACUUCUUAAGAUAUUAUUUUACAUUUCUAUAUUCUCCUACCCUGAGUUGAUGUGUGAGCAAUAUGUCACUUUCAUAAAGCCAGGUAUACAUUAUGGACAGGUAAGUAAAAAACAUAUUAUUUAUUCUACGUUUUUGUCCAAAAAUUUUAAAUUUCAACUGUUGCGCGUGUGUUGGUAAUGUAAAACAAACUCAGUACAGUAGUAUUCAGUACAGUAUUUAAGCCCCUGUACUUAAACAUAUUCCUCGUACCAAUGAAGUUACAUGAAAAGCAAAUUUGUGUGAGAUAUCGUAGAUGGAAGUAAAUUAGUCUUUAUGUUCCCCACAAAUUGAAAUGCAUUUCAAAAACUCUGUGUGUGUAUGUGUGUGUGUGACAGAGUGUGUGUGAGAGAGAGACAGAGAGAUACGCUUUGGUUGCCUCCAUAAGCUGGCUGCUAUGAUUAAUAAGACCAAGUUUUCUAAAGAAAAUGAGAUCAUAACAAAAGCCCUCUUUAUGACUAUCUUUUAUCAGGGGCAAAAAGGAAAGAGACAAAACAGCAUGAAAUGAUGAGACCAAGUGAUGAAAAUUCAUUCACAAUGAUUGCUUUCAAGAGUAAUUUCUCUUGGGUAAUUCAGCAGCCUGUUACUAUGGCUCUCUGGAGUGAUAGCUAAUGUAAAUGAAGCCUCUAAAAGUGGAUUAUCCUGACAAGAAUAUACUCAGCCAAUAAUGCAACAGAAAUCCAUUCAAAGCAUUCGGGAAAAAUUCAAAAGAAUAAAUAUUCUUUUUUUUUUUUUAAAGUUAAUGACCUACGAUCCAUUUCUUCCCUGACUAACAAGCAGCAAGCACUUAAAAAUAUCCAGCCAGGAUGAAAUAGAAACCCACCUGACUUGUUAAUAUUUUUGUUUGGUCCCAGGGACUCAGAUUCUAAGCCAAAUUCUUUGAAUGAUCUUGGCAAAUGUCUCGAAUUAUUUUUGCCAACUUUUCUUUAUCUUGGAAAAAAAGUUUCAUGAAUGGGUGUCAAAAUUGAUUAGUUUUAAAAACCUUUCUUGCAGAUACGUAUGGCACCCUAAAACUGUAUUAGAAAAAAAUUUCAUAUCUCCAGGCCUUUCAUUGGGUCAGGUUGGCAUUUCGCUGCCCUUUAUGUGUGUGACAAGUGAAAAUAAGGAAAGAAAAAAACUCAAGUGAAGAAAAUCAGAAUCUGCGCAGCAGUUCCUGGGCGUUUCAGCUGCUUCCCACAUCACCUGCCUCAUCAAGCCCCAGCAUCCAUCUCCUUGCUCAUCUUACACCCUGUGUGCAUGACAGGCCCACCAUUCAUUUAUCAGAGCAAAGGCUCUCCCACUAUUCUGGUUCACCCCCCUACUUAGCCAGAUAUACAAGAAUAUCUGCACGGAUGACCUGCCUCACCUGGGAGCUCAGAGGAGCUCAGAUUCCAUUACUAUCGCACCAAGGACAGAUCUCCCAGCAAGAAUGACAGAAAAGACUAACUGCCCCCAAAAUCUCCCUUCCAAAACACAGUUCUCUUAAUUCUCCCAAGAAACCAGAAUGUGACUGCUCACCUCUCUAAGGACCUGAAAACAACUGGCCAUUUCAGCUAUUUAAAUCAACUUUAAAAAAUCCAACCGCCAAAAUAUUAAACCAUUUUGGUUGGAAUGAUAACAUAACUAACCUGCUGACAGCUGCUUCUGCUAGGUGCAAAAAUGGAAAAAAAAAUACUUCUAAUCAGGUCAAAUCACUCUACCUUUGGGAUUCUAAAUUUACUCAUAUUCUCAAAGAAAUAUAUUCAGUCAUAGUGGGGAAAAUAGGAUUAUUCCUUUAGCUCGAUAAGCAACCAGAAGUUCUUCCUUCAAAUCUUGACAUUUAAUCAAUCAGAAAUUGAUUUUUGGAAAACUGUUUCCUAUGAAGCUAUCUCUGCCUGAAGGAUUUUUCUUUUACAAUCCAGACUAUAGAAGGAAAUUCACAACCUGGACUUUCACCUCCAUUGGUCAGAGUUUUACUGACCAAUUCCCACCUCUGCCUUACACCUAACGGAAGUUUAUGCCUGUUUUCUCUUCACAUACCCCAACAGUUACAAAUGGUUGUUAUUAUUAAGCAUCUUUUAUUUUGUGGCCUCUGAUUACAUGGUCCCCUAAAUUUUGACCUAAUCACAAAAGAUUGGUAAAAUUUCUUAACAUAUUAAUAAUAUUUUGUUUAUGUGUCAAUAUCUUAGCAUGUAUCAAUUAAGACAGAGGUCUUAACGUUCUCUUUUUGAAAGAGAAUAUUAGGAUUCAGAGAUAUUAAGAGAUUCUCCCAGGAUCACAGUUAGGUAACAGAGCUGGAUUUUAGUCCAGGUCUGUCUACAGCUCUAACGUAUAUACACCCUUUGUAUAACAUGUCACGAAUUCAGCAUAAAGGGAUCUUCAGUGAUCUAAGUCAGGGGUCAGCAACCUUUUCUAAAAAGGACCAAAUAGUAAUAUUUCAGGCUUUGUGGACCCUAUGGUCUCUAUCAUAACUGUUCAAAUCACCAUGUAGUGUAAAAGGAGCCAUAAGCAAAAUAUAAACUAACGAAUGUGGCUGUUUUAUGGGAUUUUUUUUUAACUCUUUAUUUACAAAAGCAGGUGGCAGAUCAGAACUCACUUAUGGGCCAUAGUUCUCUGACCCCUGACCUGAGAAAAUCUUAUAUUUAUGGACAACAUUUAGACUGUGACUUGCCAAGUAAGAACAAGAAGCUCUGUCAACUGAAGGUCAAGGCUGGAGUUCUGAAAGCAAAGAGCUGUCUGGUGUUAAUGAUAAGUGAAAUAGUUAAAGUUAGAAGAUCCCAGUUAUAAGAAGCACAAAGAAUAAUGACCAUAGACUCCUGAACAAGAAUGUCUGGACUUCUGGCUUAGGCACUCUUGUUGUAUGGUCCAGGCCAAGUUACCUAAUCUCUCCAGGCCUCCAUUUUCUUAUCAUUAAAUGAAGAUAAUAAAAGUAUUUUCCUCAGAGAGCUGUAAGAAUAAACUGAGCUAACCCAUGUCAAGCACAUAGAAUAGG